UUAAAAUGAGAGUUUGAUCCUGGCUCAGGAUGAACGCUGGCGGCGUGCCUAAUACAUGCAAGUCGAACGCUUUGUCUUUAACUGAUCUGACGAGCUUGCUCUGAUGUGAUUUUAUCUGACAAAGAGUGGCGAACGGGUGAGUAACACGUGGGUAACCUACCUCUUAGCAGGGGAUAACAUUUGGAAACAAGUGCUAAUACCGUAUAAUA
RNAcentral lists this ribosomal RNA (209 nucleotides) under Weissella paramesenteroides. Its description in RNAcentral is "partial 16S ribosomal RNA". It matches the Rfam family "Bacterial small subunit ribosomal RNA", at positions 1 to 178 of the family's 1533-position model. Lineage: Bacteria; Bacillati; Bacillota; Bacilli; Lactobacillales; Lactobacillaceae. The record is from RNAcentral.